RNAcentral lists this ribosomal RNA (407 nucleotides) under uncultured bacterium. RNAcentral's name for it is "partial 16S ribosomal RNA". It matches the Rfam family "Bacterial small subunit ribosomal RNA", at positions 30 to 526 of the family's 1533-position model. The record is from RNAcentral.
AUUGAACGCUGGCGGCAGGCCUAACACAUGCAAGUCGAGCGGAUCGGCGGACGGGUGAGUAAUUCCUCGGCAUCUUCCUGGUCGUGGUGGAUAACGUCCGGAAACGGGCGCUAAUACCGCAUACUAUCCGCUUAGCCUAGGUCGGAUUAGCUAGUGGGGGGGGUAAUGGCCUACCAAGGCGACGAUCCGUAACUGGGCUGAGAGGAUGAUCAGUCACACUGGAACGGAGACACGGUCCAGACUCCUACGGGAGGCAGCAGUGGGGAAUAUUGGACAAUGGGCGAAAGCCGGAUCCAGCAAUGCCGCGUGUGUGAAGAAGGUCUUCGGAUUGUAAAGCACUUUAAGUUGGGAGGCGUUACCAACAGAAUAAGCACCGGCUAACUUCGUGCCAGCAGCCGCGGUAAUAC